Triticum dicoccoides is the source of this 641-nucleotide long non-coding RNA. RefSeq lists it as uncharacterized. The record is from RefSeq and is a predicted model, not a curated record. The transcript has 3 exons. Lineage: Eukaryota; Viridiplantae; Streptophyta; Magnoliopsida; Poales; Poaceae.
CGUAUUACUGUUGCUUCCCUACAAAUAAAAAGUCUUACUCUUGCCCGAUCCCCUUUCUCCUUUCCUUCUUCUCUCCGCUCGCUCAUUCCAAAAUUCGUACGACCGGAUGAGACCCGACUGCUCGACUCGCAGGUGAUGUGGGCUUGGAUCUUGUCUUCCACUGCCAGCUUGAAUCCAUCUUGAGCGUGAGGAUGGCGGCAGCGUUGUCUUCCACUAGCGCGCGAGCCGGACGCAUCGUCGUUGUUCCUAGUCGAGGCAGACUGACACAUCGUCGUCAUCCUCCACAUCGGCAGCUUUCUUCGACCUACAGAAGGAAGUAACCAAGGGCUUUUGGGCUCGACCAGUGGAGAUGGGGAUGAGGACGAUGUCCAAGACGGCACCUGAUCUGUACCAAUCCACCAUAGUGUUGGUGCCCUACCACCAUGAGAGCAGUCAGCAGCAGUCUUCACCAUCCUCGCGCUCAAUACGGCCUAGUCAAUGCAUGUUUAGCUUGGAUAUUUUCUAUAACUUGGAUACUAAAUAUCACAUACAGUAGAUAUUACCUGCUUUCUACUUGGACAAAUCGGUCUCUGAAACAGCUAACGAAUGAAUGUAGUGCAUCUUAGAGAAAUAAAUCAAAUAAUUGUGGUUGAUGAUGAGAC